This 253-nucleotide ribosomal RNA is filed under the name uncultured bacterium. RNAcentral's name for it is "partial 16S ribosomal RNA". It matches the Rfam family "Bacterial small subunit ribosomal RNA", at positions 524 to 776 of the family's 1533-position model. The record is from RNAcentral.
UACGUAGGGGGCAAGCGUUGUCCGGAUUUAUUGGGCGUAAAGAGCGUGUAGGCGGCUUGACAGGUCUGCUGUGAAAACUCGAGGCUCAACCUCGAGAUGUCGGCGGAAACCGUCUGGCUAGAGUCCGGAAGAGGAGAGUGGAAUUCCUGGUGUAGCGGUGAAAUGCGCAGAUAUCAGGAAGAACACCUAUGGCGAAGGCAGCUCUGUGGGACGGUACUGACGCUGAGACGCGAAAGCGUGGGGAGCGAACAGG